UCGCCUUGAUUUUCAUGUCUAUGUAUAUUUUUAAGGUCUCGUUGGAUUCGCUUUGUGUCUCUUUGUGGAUGUUUUGUUUGCUUCUCUUUGUCGCAGCUCAAUGUAAGUUUGUCUCUUCGGUGGUUCACCUGCACUCCUUCGUAUUAAAGUCGAUCUAUGUGGACGUAGCAGACCCGUGUGAUGCCGCUGAUAUUAACUGUGUAUGUGUUCAUCUUAUUAGCUCUGCUGUUCGAUAACUAGAACGCGUAACUGUUAAUCUGUCCAACUACCAGCUGUGGAAAUCUCUUCAUUUAGUUUCCUUGGAAACCAGGAAAAUGUGUCGACUGCAGCAAAGGAAAACUCAUUCCCACACAUGCCGAAUGCCCCAACACAUAAAUAGACGUGUUCUUUAAAUAUCUUUGUAUUACUUUUACUGAUUAUCCGUUUUACCACAGUUGUAUUACUUCUUCUACACUUACACAUUAAAUAUACGUAUGGCUCCAUUGUCGGUUGGUCUGUUUGUUGAGUUAUUCCACCCAAAAGUGGUCAAAAGCAUCAGCUUUCGUGCACUUUGUUCUGGUGGAAUCUUUGCAGGGAGGAAAAACUUCCUGUGCAUCACAAACCAGAGGAUGUGUUGAUGAAUAGAACCACAUCAUAUGUGGACAUUUAUGGAAAGAUAUCGCUUACAUUCAAGGGGCGGGGCUACGUGGCCAUGUGAUCCGAUCCUCGCCAACAUCUGUCUCCAUCUACGGUUUAUUGUGACGACGUUUCAUCGGUCUCUGAUUCAAUCGUUUCACUCCAAGCUUUCCUGUGAUUGUGCCAUGAAAGGGUGAAUCGCCGCAGGAGUCGAUUCUGACUUUCACACCUUCACAGAACAACUUCUGUCUUCAGACGUGAUUCGCUUUCGCUGUCGUUUUUAAACCAGCACGUAUGAGAAGGACGGAUUAGAAGCCGCGCUGGCGGUCGCCUCUGUAAUGAGCUGUUAGCAAGAGAUCCACACACACAACCUCACCCACUCACACACACACACACACACACACACACACACACACGCACACACACACACGGUGAAUAAUUGAUGUCAUUUGAAUGCUGUGGGUUGAACACAGUUAAAUGUAAAAACGGCCUGCAGGGAAAUCAAAGCCAAACAUUCCCCGUCUGUCACUCAAAUUCACAUCCAAUAUUAUUCAACAUAAAAAGACAAGAGGAACACUUUCAUACGCAAUGUUAAAUAACGCAACAUUAAAAUGACACACAGAAAUAUUCAUAGUCUUACUAAGAGCCUUUAUAUGAAACAGGAAUGUUUUCGUUUUUUCCAAAACAAGAAAUGUUUCCUGCUGAUAUCGGAUGAAAAGUAGCGUUAAAUACGUCUCCUGCCUGAACUGUGAAUUCUCUAAACUUGAUUGUUAUUAAGUACCGUAAAGUUUGGUUUGGAAGAGAAUAAACGUGUUUCAGAGUGACGAUUAUAUGACGUUAACAUGAGAGAACAUUUUGAUUACAGCUUUAGGUCUCGUCUCAUUUUAUUAUCAACAAAGAAAAGCAUCAAAACAAAUAAAAUAUAGAAUGAACACAACUCAUGAGAUAGAAACCAAAUAUAAUGAACACAAAAGAGUAGAAACCAGAUCAAAUUAAUAAAGAAUUAGGAAAAUAUAAUUGAUAAAACAUACUGGUGUUAAGAAGCAAAGUUAGAAAUAAUGGGAAAGAAACCAAGUAUAAAAUACAGGGAUAGAAAAAUAUAUAUAAAUAAAUAUUAGAUAGAAACGGGCUACUGGGAUGGAACAUUUAAUUCUACACACACACACACACAGUGUGUAACAGAAGUUGUUGUGUGGGCGCGUUGGAAUAAAGUGGAUUCUCUGGGCCGCAGUCGAGUGGGAGGAGAAACAUCACAGCCUCCAUCAUCAUUUCUCUAUAUUGUCUUCGUGGUUGCUUCCUGUUCUCAUGUCAAACGUUUGUCUCAGUCGUUUCUGCUGGAGACACCUGCUGGAUCCCUCCGUGUUCCUCAGCGUCUCUCUGCUUUGACCCUUUUCCCCGCUGGCGUCUUUUCUUUUCCUUUUCCAGGAUUAGUGAAGAAGAACCAGACUCAUACACGUACAUGUUGUAGCGCCACGGGGGGGCCGGGGGGGCCGUCCCUAUGGACAGCUCGGUGCAAAUAUAACGUGUAUAUAUGUAUAUAUAUGUGUCUGAUGGUGUUUCUGCUUGUUGCAUCACUCCUGCACCAGGAAGGUCUGAUGGACACUUUGACUCUAUGAAAGGACCCGUCUGUCCGCCUGUCUGUCAGUCACAGGUCCUGGUCCUGGUCCUGGUCCAGGAGGUGCACAGAGACGCCCCCCCCCCCUCCCUCAGUGGUCCCCAUUACCUCCACCUCCAUCUGAUUACAGCUCUGCUUUGAUUGCGGCAGUGAACAGAAAUGAACAGGUUUAAUAAUGUUGGACCUGUCAAUCACCGCGUAGCCCCGCCCCCAGAAAGCACACUCUGGCUCUAUGGACCAUAAUCCACUACAUGAACAUCGUGGGGUGUUGAAGAAGACUUGGGAGCAGAGGGGGUCGCAGGCUGGAGGCUCGAUAGGGCGACAGCACACACACGCUUGCUGCAUUAGCUCACGUGGCGCUUUGGGAACAUUGUCUUUGUUACAGAUAACGGGGGAGACAGAGGGGGAGUCAAAUGUGUCAUCUGAGCGACAGACGCGUCUUCCUCCUCUUCGUCUUCUUUAUGUUCACCGUGUGUGUGUGUUUAUGUGUGUGCGUGUGUGUGCACACACAUUUGUUGGCGAUCCAACAACUCCGCCCAGAUUUCCUGCUCUGCUCUCUGUUGUUUUAUUGCUUUCUUCACUUUGGAGGAAAUUUGUGUCACUUUGAGUUUCUUCUUUUUCACAGAAACGAUGUGAAUGAAGCUGCCGGCUGAACUGAAGAGUGUGGAGCUUAUUUGUGGACAGAAGCUGUCUGGAGGAAUUUACGUGUGAUGGUGUGAUGGUGUGAUGGUGUGAUUGUGUGGUUGUGUGGUUGUGUGAUUGUGUGAUGGUGUGCAGUAAUAGUUGUCUUUUCCUGUUUUGGUUGUGUCUCCAACAAACCAUUUUAAAUCUUAAAUUCAAACCUCCAGUUGUCCAACGAGUCUUUGAGGAAAUGACUCUACUUCUCUCCUGAUUUAUUCCCUCAGUAAACGUUGUAAACAUCAGUUUAUGGUCUCAGUCUAGUUUCAAGUCUCCUUCAAUACAACAUGAUGUUCAUUUAGUGAAUUAUGGUCCAUCUAGAGUCAAACAGACCAUAAAGCAGGGGACGGGGGCGGAGCUACACGCUGAUUGACAGGUCUCCACUUCUCUCAACCUCACUUUUGUUCAUUGGUGGCAAAACAUAUGAUAUCAAGUUUACAUCCCUAUCUGACGUCCACAGGCAUAACACAUGUAUGUUAACAUGACAGAACGUAACAUAACACAUAUAUGUUAACAUGACAGAACGUAACAUAACACAUGUAUGUUAACAUAACAGAACGUAACAUAACACAUGUAUGUUAACAUGACAGAACGUAACAUAACACAUAUAUGUUAACAUGACCGCUGGUUUAAUAACUUGACAGAAGGCGGAACACAUGUUUCUCUUUUCUCCAGUUAUUUCUGAAUGAAUGUUGUUCACCUUCAUCACUGUGUCGUUUGUAAAAAAAACUAUGAUUUAUUCCUUUCAGUUGCGUCAUCUUUUGUUGAGAGAGAGGGAGAGAGUGAGGGAGGGAGAGAGACAGAGAUCCCCCCCCCCCCCCCCUCAUCUUCCCCUCUGCUGGACUCCACCCGCCUCCAAGGGCCCUGAAGGCGGAAGCAAAUGAACAAACUAAACGCACCAUCUGAGCCCAGAGCAGCCGGGGGGAGCGCUUCAUUCAUGCUACAGAGCCUCCCCGUUUAACCCAGCACAGCCCUGUAGCACACAGAUGUUUACUACUCUGCAUCGACAUCCACUUGUGUUUAUAAAGAAAGAGAUGAAACGUGUCGGUUUAAAGUAUCGUACACAUGUUCUGUUCAUAAAGGGACUUUGUCUACAAUAUGUCUUAAAUGAAACAUUUCUGCAACAAAAUGAUCCCAGACCUCUAAACUUGUUUCCGAUGACCUUUUUAGUUUGGCUUGACUCUUCAAGGUCCUGGUCUUGAAAUACUUUAGUCUUGUUCUUGAUAGACUCUGGUCUUGGUCUUGAUAGAUUUUACUCUUGUUCUUGAUAGACUCUGGUCUUGGUCUUGAUAGACUUUAGUCUUGUUCUUGAUAGACUCUGGUCUUGGUCUUGAUAAACUCUGGUCUUGGUCUUGAUAGACUUUAGUCUUGUUCUUGAUAGACUCAGGUCUUGUUCUUGAUAGACUCUGGUCUUGGUCUUGAUAAACUCUGGUCUUGGUCUUGAUAGACUUUAGUCCUAGUCUUGAUAGACUUUAGUUUUGUUCUUGAUAGACUCUGGUCUUGGUCUUGAUAGACUUUAGUCCUGGUCUUGAUAGACUUUAGUCUUGUUCUUGAUAGACUCUGGUCUUGUUCUUGAUAGACUCUGGUCUUGGUCUUGAUAGACUUUAGUUUUGUUCUUGAUAGACUCUGGUCUUGGUCUUGAUUGACUUUAGUCCUGGUCUUGAUAGACUUUAGUCUUGUUCUUGAUAGACUCUGGUCUUGGUCUUGAUAGACUUUAGUCCUGGUCUUGAUAGACUCAGGUCUUGGUCUUGAUAGACUUUAGUUUUGUUCUUGAUAGACUGUGGUCUUGGUCUUGAUAGACUGUGGUCUUGGUCUUGAUAAACUCUGGUCUUGGUCUUGAUAGACUUUUUCUUGGUCUUGAUUUGAUUAGUACCCCUGGAAGUCUUGGUCUUGCCGUUAUCGACCCCUCAUAGUCUUGGUCUUAGGAGAAUCUGGUCUCUUGGUCUUGACUUGAUAUCUACCCCUUGAAUCCUGCAACACCCUCUUUUCUACCUGGCCGGCCUGAAUCCUCGCCCCCCCAAACUGUUCCUGCUCCUCCAGAGGUACUCAUGACUGCUUCGCGUGCCAGCGGACUCACGUAUCACAGCUACGAUAAACCC
Gasterosteus aculeatus aculeatus (three-spined stickleback) is the source of this 5007-nucleotide long non-coding RNA. Lineage: Eukaryota; Metazoa; Chordata; Actinopteri; Perciformes; Gasterosteidae. The record is from Ensembl.